GACAGAGGAUGCAAGCGUUAUCCGGAAUGAUUGGGCGUAAAGCGUCUGUAGGUGGCUUUUUAAGUCUGCCGUCAAAUCCCAGGGCUUAACCCUGGACAGGCGGUGGAAACUACCAAGCUGGAGUACGGUAGGGGCAGGGGGAAUUUCCGGUGGAGCGGUGAGAUGCGUAGAGAUCGGAAAGAACACCAACGGCGAAAGCACUCUGCUGGGCCGACACUGACACUGAGAGACGAAGGCCAGGGGAGCAAACGGG
Molecule: ribosomal RNA, 253 nt
Filed under: uncultured bacterium
Lineage: Bacteria
Description: partial 16S ribosomal RNA
Rfam family: Bacterial small subunit ribosomal RNA
Source: RNAcentral